RNAcentral lists this long non-coding RNA (378 nucleotides) under Triticum aestivum (bread wheat). Its description in RNAcentral is "long non-coding RNA (TAES_LNC011755)". Lineage: Eukaryota; Viridiplantae; Streptophyta; Magnoliopsida; Poales; Poaceae. The record is from RNAcentral.
GAACGAAUGACAGUUGUGCAGAGGGUUAAGGGGUGUGGUUACAACGUGACAAUAAGAGAAAGACCCGGUAAAGAAGGAUUGAACGUUGUGUGGGCUUUCCAUGUAUGAAUACUACUGGCAGUGUUACAGUGUGCUGAUAUGUGCUUUGUAAACAGCAGGCCAAGUGGUCCAUUAGAAAAGGGCUGGAUAGAUUAUCAAACAAUGAGGGAAGCGAGGUAGAGCUCGGGAUGACGGCGUAAUGAUUAGCUGUCUUCAAGUAGAAGAUCCGGACAACCAUAAGGGCGUGCGAUUUUUUUUCCGAUGCAAUGCAUGGGCGCCACGACCGACCUCAACCUUCGGAUUUCACAGUACUGUAGUAUUCAUAGAAGUCUACUUUUU